UCGAACGAUGAUCCCAGCUUGCUGGGGGAUUAGUGGCGAACGGGUGAGUAACACGUGAGUAACCUGCCCUUGACUCUGGGAUAAGCCUGGGAAACUGGGUCUAAUACCGGAUACGACCAUCUGGCGCAUGUCAUGGUGGUGGAAAGCUUUUGUGGUUUUGGAUGGACUCGCGGCCUAUCAGCUUGUUGGUGGGGUAAUGGCCUACCAAGGCGACGACGGGUAGCCGGCCUGAGAGGGUGACCGGCCACACUGGGACUGAGACACGGCCCAGACUCCUACGGGAGGCAGCAGUGGGGAAUAUUGCACAAUGGGCGCAAGCCUGAUGCAGCGACGCCGCGUGAGGGAUGACGGCCUUCGGGUUGUAAACCUCUUUCAGUAGGGAAGAAGCGAAAGUGACGGUACCUGCAGAAGAAGCGCCGGCUAACUACGUGCCAGCAGCCGCGGUAAUACGUAGGGCGCAAGCGUUAUCCGGAAUUAUUGGGCGUAAAGAGCUCGUAGGCGGUUUGUCGCGUCUGCUGUGAAAGACCGGGGCUCAACUCCGGUUCUGCAGUGGGUACGGGCAGACUAGAGUGCAGUAGGGGAGACUGGAAUUCCUGGUGUAGCGGUGAAAUGCGCAGAUAUCAGGAGGAACACCGAUGGCGAAGGCAGGUCUCUGGGCUGUAACUGACGCUGAGGAGCGAAAGCAUGGGGAGCGAACAGGAUUAGAUACCCUGGUAGUCCAUGCCGUAAACGUUGGGCACUAGGUGUGGGGGACAUUCCACGUUUUCCGCGCCGUAGCUAACGCAUUAAGUGCCCCGCCUGGGGAGUACGGCSGCAAGGCUAAACUCAAGGAUUGACGGGGGCCCGCACAAGCGCGAGCAUGC
Molecule: ribosomal RNA, 863 nt
Filed under: Paenarthrobacter nitroguajacolicus
Lineage: Bacteria; Bacillati; Actinomycetota; Actinomycetes; Micrococcales; Micrococcaceae
Description: bacterial SSU rRNA
Rfam family: Bacterial small subunit ribosomal RNA
Source: RNAcentral